Molecule: small RNA, 201 nt
Filed under: Arabidopsis thaliana (thale cress)
Lineage: Eukaryota; Viridiplantae; Streptophyta; Magnoliopsida; Brassicales; Brassicaceae
Description: ATSL276700
Source: RNAcentral
AUUUAACUAUACUUCUCAACUCAGCAAGCUGAAGAGAACUUUUGACCACAAGAAGAAAGCAAUAGAAGGGUUAGCUCAGACUGAAGAUCCUACAGAAGAUGACUGGUAUGAGAUGAGAAAAAAAUUUAAAUGGCAAAGCAGAGUCAUAGAGGGAUUAUCUUCAAGGGUGAUGAAGCUGAAAGAUCAACUAUGGAUGUUUGA